RNAcentral lists this ribosomal RNA (404 nucleotides) under uncultured bacterium. RNAcentral's name for it is "bacterial SSU rRNA". It matches the Rfam family "Bacterial small subunit ribosomal RNA", at positions 355 to 776 of the family's 1533-position model. The record is from RNAcentral.
UGGGGGAUAUUGCACAAUGGGCGCAAGCCUGAUGCAGCGACGCCGCGUGGGCGAGGAAGUAUUUCGGUAUGUAAAGCCCUAUCAGCAGGGAAGAAGAUGACGGUACCUGACUAAGAAGCUCCGGCUAAAUACGUGCCAGCAGCCGCGGUAAUACGUAUGGAGCAAGCGUUAUCCGGAUUUACUGGGUGUAAAGGGAGCGCAGGCGGCGUGGCAAGUCUGAUGUGAAAACCCGGGGCUCAACCCCGUGAGUGCAUUGGAAACUGCCGUGCUGGAGUACCGGAGGGGCAGGCGGAAUUCCUAGUGUAGCGGUGAAAUGCGUAGAUAUUAGGAGGAACACCAGUGGCGAAGGCGGCCUGCUGGACGGAGACUGACGCUGAGGCUCGAAAGCGUGGGGAGCAAACAGG